This 460-nucleotide ribosomal RNA is filed under the name uncultured bacterium. Its description in RNAcentral is "partial 16S ribosomal RNA". It matches the Rfam family "Bacterial small subunit ribosomal RNA", at positions 338 to 795 of the family's 1533-position model. The record is from RNAcentral.
CCUACGGGAGGCAGCAGUGAGGAAUAUUGGACAAUGGGCGGAAGCCUGAACCAGCCAAGUAGCGUGCAGGAUGACGGCCCUACGGGUUGUAAACUGCUUUUAUGCGGGAAUAACGCGUCUUACGUGUAGCUCUUUUCAUGUACCUUAUUAAUAAGGGCCGGCUAAUUCCGUGCCAGCACCCGCGGUAAUACGGAAGGUCCGGGCGUUAUCCUGAUUUAAUGGGUGUAAAGGGAGCGUAGGCCGCAUGUCAAGCUUGCUGUGAAAUGUCCGGGCUCAACCCGGGCCUUGCAGCUCCUACUGGCGAGCUUGAGUCCGCGGAAAGCAGGAGGAAUUCGUGGUGUAGCGGUGAAAUGCUUAGAUAUGACGAAGAACCCCGAUUGCGAAGGCAGCUUGCUGCAGCGGAACUGACGCUGAUGCGCGAAAGCGUGGGUAGCGAACAGGAUUAGAUACCCGGGUAGUC